CUCAGUAACACGUGGAUAACCUACCCUUGGGACUGGGAUAACCCCGGGAAACUGGGGAUAAUACCGGAUAGAUCAGGGAUGCUGGAAUGCGCCUUGAUCCAAAGCUCCGGCGCCCAAGGAUGGGUCUGCGGCCUAUCAGGUUGUAGUGGGUGUAACGUACCUACUAGCCGACGACGGGUACGGGUUGUGAGAGCAAGAGCCCGGAGAUGGAUUCUGAGACACGAAUCCAGGCCCUACGGGGUGCAGCAGGCGCGAAACCUUUACAAUGUGCGAAAGCAUGAUAAGGGAACUCCGAGUGCCAGCAUCUAAUGCUGGCUGUCCUUGUGCCUAAAACGCACAAGAUAGCAAGGGCCGGGUAAGACCGGUGCCAGCCGCAGAAAGAGACACCGGCGGCCCGAGUGGUAGCCGCUAUUAUUGGGUCUAAAGGGUCCGUAGCCGGUUCGAUAAGUCCUCUGGGAAAUCUGGUUGCUUAACAAUCAGACUGCCAAGGGAUACUGUCGAACUUGAGACCGGGAGAGGUAAGAGGUACUUCAGGGGUAGGAGUGAAAUCUUGUAAUCCCUGGGGGACCAUCUGUGGCGAAGGCGUCUUACCAGAACGGGUCUGACGGUGAGGGACGAAAGCUGGGGGCGCAAACCGGAUUAGAUACCCGGGUAGUCCCAGCCGUAAACGAUGCUCGCUAUGUGUCAGGUACGGUGUGACCGUAUCUGGUCCGUAGGGAAACCCCAGGCGCCCCUGGAAGUACGUCGCAAGACUGAAACUAAA
Molecule: ribosomal RNA, 763 nt
Filed under: uncultured archaeon
Lineage: Archaea
Description: bacterial SSU rRNA
Rfam family: Archaeal small subunit ribosomal RNA
Source: RNAcentral